GCCGCUUUAGCUCAGUCGGUAGAGCGCAAGACUUUUAAUCUUGCAGCCGCGGGUUCGAGCCCCGCAAGCGGUU
Transfer RNA from Gregarina niphandrodes, 73 nucleotides. It matches the Rfam family "tRNA". From Rfam's summary of the family: Transfer RNA (tRNA) molecules are approximately 80 nucleotides in length. Their secondary structure includes four short double-helical elements and three loops (D, anti-codon, and T loops). The record is from Rfam. Lineage: Eukaryota; Apicomplexa; Conoidasida; Eugregarinorida; Gregarinidae.